AUGAAAAUUGGUGACGAGGCUGGACAGUCGAGCACACCUAAUCAUCCGGUGUGGAAGAGGCUUUGGAACUUAAAGCUACCAGGGAAAGUUAAAAUCUUCGUCUGGCGGUGCCUGCACAACACCAUCCCCUUUAAGUGUACAUUAGCCAACAGACACAUACCUACAAGUGGGCAGUGUCCAGUUUGCCAGCAAUGGGCGGAGGACAUUAAACAUGCGCUCUUCACUUGCACCCGGGUUAGGUCGAUUUGGUCUGAGUUGGGCCUGAAAACGGUGAUAGAUGAGGUGAUCCCAAUCAACAGAUCAGGUGCGAGAGUUUUGGAGUCUCUCUUAUGCGAUGACAGGUUUCAGCGAAAGUAUGUGGAGGUAAUUGAUAUACCCGAAAUAAUAGCUUCCACCAGCUGGUACCUUUGGUGGCAGCGAAGGGAGCUGGCAAGAGGUGAACAAGUUCAGAACCCAAUCCGCACGGCAAUGGCCAUCCAGGCCUUGUCUCUGAAUUUCGUCCGAGCGGCUGGGAAACCGAAUCCAUUGCCUUGUCAGAAUGCUUGGAAUAAGCCACUGUCAGGGAUGCAGGUACUGAACGUAGAUGAUUCAUUUAUGGAAGAUGAUCACACGGGAUCCUGCGGAAUGGUGGUGAGAGAUCAUACCGGUGGAUUUAUAGCAGCAGCAGUAACUCAGAUGGCCCAUGUUGCGAAUGCAGUGGUAGCUGAGGCCGAGGCUAUGCACCAGGGUAUCAAGUUCUUACGCAGCUUUGGGUGUGAUAGCAUUGUGAUUCAAUCUGAUAUCUUGAUCGUCGUGGAAGCAUUGAGGCUGAAUGAAGGGUAUGCUUUGGUGGCAGCGCCAAUUCUUGAAGAUUGCCGUAAUUUACUUGCAGAUUUUGGGAACGUCGUUAUCGAACAUUGUAGUAGAGAGUCGAACAUGGUUGCUCAUGAGCUAGCUAGCUAUGGGAGGGGUAAUCCACCGACGGUGUGGUCGGAUACUCCCCUGUCAGGACCCCGACUCGAUGUCACAUCGAUCUAG
This 1017-nucleotide ribosomal RNA is filed under the name Triticum aestivum (bread wheat). Its description in RNAcentral is "partial small subunit ribosomal RNA". Lineage: Eukaryota; Viridiplantae; Streptophyta; Magnoliopsida; Poales; Poaceae. The record is from RNAcentral.